This is a long non-coding RNA of Prunus persica (peach), 1133 nucleotides long. RefSeq lists it as uncharacterized. The transcript is spliced from 2 exons. Lineage: Eukaryota; Viridiplantae; Streptophyta; Magnoliopsida; Rosales; Rosaceae. The record is from RefSeq and is a predicted model, not a curated record.
CCAACUUCAGCUCAUGUCAAGCCAGAUUCACUCAAAAUAGCCACUCCACCACCACACUCGCAUGAUCGCAUCGUUGUUAACGAAAGCAAGAGCCCAUUCCUAACCCUAACCCUAAAAUUUCAUCAAUGGACAAUGCUCAGAUGAUCAGAUCCAAGUGGAUCCUUCGCUCCAACCACGCCCGAUCUCCGCCAGUCCGAAAUCGCCAUAUCCGAUCAUCUCGUAGAACGGAUUGUUGUAUCACUGACGCCUCACCAAGAGAGGCAGAAAUCGAUAAUGGCUGCGAUUCGUUUCGAUUCUCUGACCGGUAAUCUUUGUUCAUUGAGAAUCGACACCUCAAUUCUUCUCUUACCGAUAAUCCUCGUUGGAAAUGGGAUGCAUAUUCACUGGCGAAGACCUCGAUAGGAUUUUCAGUGAACAUGCGCGCGACCGAUCUGAAUUACGCUGUUUCGAAUCGCGUCGAGUAGGUUCGGGCUGCUGUCUCGCGAGUUCGAAUUCGCUUUGCAUUUCAGUCCAAUUCCAUUGGGUCCCGUCCCGUCGAUGGCCGACUUCUUCUAGAAGAAGCGGAACGCGUUGAUCGCCUGGUGGGAAGCCUGAGAUCGAUGAUUUUGUUUCUCACUCUUUCAGUGCUUAGUUUUCUUACGAAUCUUCACCUUGUUGAUCUUUAUAUGCAGCCCCAUUGUAAAGUUUGAGAACGCAAAAAGGUGAUAAAAUAACAGCAAUGGUUCGAUUACCUCACUCAUGGAUUUGUAGAUGAAGUGAAGGUUGAGGUCGCGGUCGCCACUGAGAAGCCUUGUGAUCUUGAGAUGAUGAUAAUUUAUAAGAAGGGAGUUGGAAGAUGAGAAGAUAAAAUGAGAAAAAGAAAAGAUUACGAGGAAGAUGACAUAUCAAGGCUACUGCAGUUGUUGAUGCUCUGAUUGGGGAUUUUGUGUGUGUUGUUUUCUUGUUUUUAGGUUUUUCUGUGUUGGCCCCAAAUUUGAAGGCAAUGCUGCCUGGUGUGUGUGUGUGUGCUCGUGUUUCCAUUUUUUUUCUUUUUCACUUUUUCAGAUCAUCUGAUGCAUGAGAGAACCAUGGAUCCACUGAAAAGAAAUAUUAAUGAUUUAAUCGGUAAUAACAAUUUGGGCCCAAGCCGAUAA